RNAcentral lists this ribosomal RNA (446 nucleotides) under uncultured bacterium. RNAcentral's name for it is "SSU rRNA". It matches the Rfam family "Bacterial small subunit ribosomal RNA", at positions 26 to 518 of the family's 1533-position model. The record is from RNAcentral.
AGAACGAACGCUGGCGGCAUGCCUAACACAUGCAAGUCGAACGAGACCUUCGGGUCUAGUGGCGCACGGGUGCGUAACGCGUGGGAAUCUGCCCUUGGGUCCGGAAUAACAGUGAGAAAUUACUGCUAAUACCGGAUGAUGACGUAAGUCCAAAGAUUUAUCGCCCAGGGAUGAGCCCGCGUAAGAUUAGGUAGUUGGUGGGGUAAAGGCCUACCAAGCCGACGAUCUUUAGCUGGUCUGAGAGGAUGAUCAGCCACACUGGGACUGAGACACGGCCCAGACUCCUACGGGAGGCAGCAGUGGGGAAUAUUGGACAAUGGGCGAAAGCCUGAUCCAGCAAUGCCGCGUGAGUGAUGAAGGCCCUAGGGUUGUAAAGCUCUUUUACCCGGGAUGAUAAUGACAGUACCGGGAGAAUAAGCCCCGGCUAACUCCGUGCCAGCAGCCGC